AGAGUUUGAUCAUGGCUCAGAAUCAACGCUGGCGGCGCGCUUAACACAUGCAAGUCGAACGAGAAAGUGGAGCAAUCCAUGAGUAAAGUGGCGUACGGGUGAGUAACACGUGGGUAAUCUACCUUUUAGUGAGGAAUAACGAUGGGAAACCGUCGCUAAUACCGCAUAAUCCCGAGAGGGGAAAGCAGCAAUGCGCUGAAAGAGGAGCCCGCGGCCGAUUAGCUAGUUGGUGGGGUAAGAGCUCACCAAGGCCGAGAUCGGUAGCCGGCCUGAGAGGGCACACGGCCACACUGGCACUGAAACACGGGCCAGACUCCUACGGGAGGCAGCAGUGGGGAAUCUUGCACAAUGGGGGCAACCCUGAUGCAGCGACGCCGCGUGAGCGAUGAAGCCCUUCGGGGUGUAAAGCUCUUUCGGCAGGGAAGAUGAUGACGGUACCUGCAGAAGCAGCUGCGGCUAACUACGUGCCAGCAGCCGCGGUAAUACGUAGGCAGCGAGCGUUGUUCGGAGUUACUGGGCGUAAAGGGUGUGUAGGCGGUUCUUUAAGUUUGGUGUGAAAUCUCCCGGCUUAACCGGGAGGGUGCGCCGAAUACUGAGGGACUAGAGUGCGGGAGAGGAAAGUGGAAUUCCUGGUGUAGCGGUGAAAUGCGUAGAUAUCAGGAGGAACACCGGUGGUGUAGACGGCUUUCUGGACCGUAACUGACGCUGAGACACGAAAGCGUGGGUAGCAAACAGGAUUAGAUACCCUAGUAGUCC
Molecule: ribosomal RNA, 756 nt
Filed under: uncultured bacterium
Lineage: Bacteria
Description: bacterial SSU rRNA
Rfam family: Bacterial small subunit ribosomal RNA
Source: RNAcentral